AAAAAAUGUGUACAAUUGACAAAAAAAUAUUAAUAUUGUAGUUAAUUGAUUUUAGUUGCCCACUUAUAAAAUUGAUAGAAAUUCUUGUUUUGUUUUAGAAUGAGCAAUUUGCUCAAUCUCAAAAUUAAGUCGGUUGAUUUUUUCGGCCUAAUUUCCUGGCCCAAAAACAACAACAACCACCCUACAACCAGCCCAAAUCCCUUUAAAUUUACUAAACCCAACCCAGCAAAAAAAAACAAAUAAAAAUAAAAAAGUAAAACAGGUUUGCUCUUUCUUUGGUCUUUAUUGUUGAUGUCAUCUGCCUUGCUUUUGUUUUCUUCAGUCUCAACCUUUG
This 334-nucleotide long non-coding RNA is filed under the name Gossypium raimondii (Peruvian cotton). RNAcentral describes it as "long non-coding RNA (GRAI_LNC007489)". The record is from RNAcentral. Lineage: Eukaryota; Viridiplantae; Streptophyta; Magnoliopsida; Malvales; Malvaceae.